GGAGGGGGCCAGCGUUGUUCGGAAUUAUUAGGCGUAAAGGGCGCGUAGGCGGCCUGGUAAGUCGGGCGUGAAAUCCCGCGGCUCAACCGCGGAACUGCGCUCGAAACUGCCGGGCCUGAGUCCCGGAGAGGGUAGCGGAAUUCCCAGUGUAGCGGUGAAAUGCGUAGAUAUUGGGAGGAACACCAGUGGCGAAGGCGGCUACCUGGACGGGUACUGACGCUGAGGCGCGAAAGCGUGGGGAGCAAACAGGAUUAGAUACCCUGGGUAGUCCACGCUGUAAACGAUGGGCACUUGGUGUUGCGGGUAUCGACCCCCCCUGCAGUGCCGAAGCUAACGCAUUAAGUGCCCCCGCCUGGGGAGUACGGUCGCAAGGCUG
RNAcentral lists this ribosomal RNA (376 nucleotides) under uncultured organism. RNAcentral's name for it is "partial 16S ribosomal RNA". It matches the Rfam family "Bacterial small subunit ribosomal RNA", at positions 527 to 896 of the family's 1533-position model. The record is from RNAcentral.